CUUCUAAGUUGCAAACUUUAUUUUUUGGGUUGUGUUGAAUUAAUAAUGUUGGUAAUUACAUUAAAUUAAUUUUAUAUGUAAUUUGAAAUUAAAUCCCAAUGUUAGUGGGUUCAAAAUAAAAUUCAAGUUGUAAUUACUUAAAGAAAUUGAAUAGAUAACUUAUUUUUUUUCUUCUGAUUUCAAAUUCCCUCCCCUACCGACUUAACUAGCCCGGGCAAAUUCACACAUGUUGGGUUGCAUGGUGCAAGCUUUUGUAAAAGACAUUUCAAGAUAAAGGAGGAGUUCAAGAGAAUAACCACUGUAAGCCUUGAAUGGCUACACUUGACAAUUGCACCCCAAAACUGAUGGAUGUCAUUUUAUCAAGGGGAGGAGCUAAGGGAGUGAGAAUCAGGCAGAUCAAGGACAUGCUUCUUGAGCACAAGACAAUUGAAACAAGCAGAGAAGUAGCCAUCUGCUGCCUUAUCACUUUCCUUGGAGAGAAGGACGAGGACC
Astatotilapia calliptera (eastern happy) is the source of this 492-nucleotide long non-coding RNA. NCBI's taxonomy places the organism in Eukaryota, Metazoa, Chordata, Actinopteri, Cichliformes, Cichlidae. The record is from Ensembl.